Non-coding RNA from Schistosoma rodhaini, 45 nucleotides. NCBI's taxonomy places the organism in Eukaryota, Metazoa, Platyhelminthes, Trematoda, Strigeidida, Schistosomatidae. The record is from Rfam.
AUCCAUCCGACGAGUCCCAAAUAGGACGAAAUGCGCGUCCUUGAU